UGAUGUGCGCUUAGCACAAGUGACUCCAUUUGGGUCUUCUAUCUCCCUUUUAACAUCUCUCAUUCUAGGCAAUCACCCUCCCUCGCCUGGACUAGUGCCUCGACUUAUCUGGUCCAGAAUCUCUUCUUAUCCCCUUUCCUCCCACUCCCCCUAGAGCAGCAGUCAGAUCUAUCACUCACCUCCUCCCUUGCCAGCUGGACACUCAAAGCCCUGCCGAGGUUCCCUGUUGGAAUUAUUAACUAGAAGCUGGGAAGUCCACAACAGAGAUUCCAAACUGGGGGCGGUUUUGCACCCCCACCCGGGGGCAAGGUUUGGAGGCAGUUUUGGUUGUCAUCAUUAGGGGGCAUUACCGGCAUCUAGGGGGUGGAGACCAGGGAUGCUGCUGGACAUUCGCUGACAGCCCACUGAUGCCAAAGAAUGUCCAGUCCCAAAUGUCAUUUGCGUAGCCUAGUGUUGAGUGGUAGCCUAGUGUUGAAGAUGAGAGUGAGGGACAGUGCCCCAACUCGAGCUGGAAGGUUUUAUGUUGACAGCGCUCCGCAUUCAUGAACAUGUUGGUUCUCCAGCUUCCUUCAGCUGCUCCGAGUGGGACCAGCUACUAGCCGGACAGAUGUGGCCAAAGACAGGGAACUGAGAGCCUAGUGUGCUUCCGCCAGGCAUCUAACACACUGUCCAGCACGCAGCUUCACCUCCUCCAGGAAGCUUUCCUUGACUUCCCCUCUUCUGUGAUCCGAAGUGCCGUGUACACGGCUUCGUCAGGUACUGACCCCAUUGCUUUACAUAUUAUCUCCCUAAUGUCGUUUAUGUUUCUCCUCGGGUCAGGAAUUAUACCUUACUCUUCUUUGAGUUGCCAUGGCCUAUUAGAGUGUCCGACACAAUAAAUCUUUGAUAAAUACAUAAACCCUGGCAGCAGGCAAUCCAGGCUUUAAAGGAGAACAACAGUAUUUCCUUGCAAUCGUUAACAGUAUUAGCAGGAAUUUUUAGAAUUUCAGUGAGGGGUGGGGAAAAGUUUAUGAGUAUGAAUUUAUUUGGAUUAAAAAAAGAACCUUUGGGGGCACCUGAGUGCCUCAGUUGGGUAAGCAUCUGACUCUUGAUCUCAGCUCAGGCCUGAUCUCAGGGUCAUGAGUUCAGCCUCCACCCUGGGCAUGGAGCCCACUUGAAAUAAAUAAAUUUGUUAAAAAAUAAAAGGCAAAAGAAACCCCCCAAGAAAAACCUUUGGGGUUACUUGAUCUGAAUAAAGACACAAUAAUCAUUAAAUAAUUCUAGAAAGGAGAGACCAUUCUAGAAAAAGAAUCCACGCAAGACUCCUUUUAAACCUGUUGAUUUCGAUCCAAUGAAUAAAUACUGAAGACUUAGGAUGAGCAAAUACCUCUGCCAAGAGAGAAAAAAAAGAAAAUACUUCUGCCACUUGACGUUUCAUAAUUCUAUGACCUUAUGAUGCUGCACGCCUACGGAAGGUAUUUUUAAACCGUGGCAGUCACACGGGGUAGAUUUACAUGAAGAACCAGGCAU
This 1509-nucleotide long non-coding RNA is filed under the name Canis lupus familiaris (dog). Its description in RNAcentral is "lncRNA (ENSCAFG00030007359.1)". Lineage: Eukaryota; Metazoa; Chordata; Mammalia; Carnivora; Canidae. The record is from RNAcentral.